GGCUCAGGAUGAACGCUGGCGGCGUGCUUAACACAUGCAAGUCGAACGAUGAAGCCAGCUUGCUGGUGGAUUAGUGGCGAACGGGUGAGUAACACGUGAGUAACCUGCCCUUGACUCUGGGAUAAGCCUGGGAAACCGGGUCUAAUACUGGAUACGACCUUCCCACGCAUGUGGUGUUGGUGGAAAGCUUUUGUGGUUUUGGAUGGACUCGCGGCCUAUCAGCUUGUUGGUGGGGUAAUGGCCUACCAAGGCGACGACGGGUAGCCGGCCUGAGAGGGUGACCGGCCACACUGGGACUGAGACACGGCCCAGACUCCUACGGGAGGCAGCAGUGGGGAAUAUUGCACAAUGGGCGCAAGCCUGAUGCAGCGACGCCGCGUGAGGGAUGAAGGCCUUCGGGUUGUAAACCUCUUUCAGUAGGGAA
Molecule: ribosomal RNA, 424 nt
Filed under: Arthrobacter sp.
Lineage: Bacteria; Bacillati; Actinomycetota; Actinomycetes; Micrococcales; Micrococcaceae
Description: bacterial SSU rRNA
Rfam family: Bacterial small subunit ribosomal RNA
Source: RNAcentral